Molecule: long non-coding RNA, 7947 nt
Organism: Bacillus rossius redtenbacheri
Lineage: Eukaryota; Metazoa; Arthropoda; Insecta; Phasmatodea; Bacillidae
Exons: 2
Source: RefSeq, a predicted model, not a curated record
UGCUCAAACAGGAUAAGCCUGCAAUCUACCGUCAUUAUAUAUGAACUAGUUUUAAAAUAUCAGAGUCGACAGAAUUCCGGAUCGGUAUGGUUCUGGCGCACAGUUUAGUCACUGGAAUUUCACCUAAAAUAUUCGAGGACAGCCUAAGUUUCACCCCCAUAGAUCGACAUGCCCUUCGGGCUGGUUCGUACAUGUUCGGGUUUUUUUUAUUUGUACGUUCAAAACAAACAUUGCAUUAUUGAUCAAAAAAUUGUUGACUAAUGUUAUUUUAUAUUUUUUUAAGAGUAAAACACAUGUACACAAAUAUUUCCUUGUUACUAAUUAUGAGAUUUUCAGGUAGCGUGUGGAGAUUUCAUCUUAUGUUCAUGAGCGCACAACGUUUAAAAUCAUAAGAAAUGUUUUCUGGUGGUGUGUAGCAGUUAACCGCAUUUAAGUAAAAAUAUUUUAAAUAAUUGUUACCAGAGCUGAAUUACAUUCAGGUGAGUGCACUUAAUAUAAUUUGGGGUAUUGCAGGAAAAAUUAUAAAUUCCUAAAGUGUUUUUUACUUCCUGACAUGUUUAAAAUUAUUAUUCUCUAUGAGGGUUGUUUGAUACUGCAAGUAGUUUAUCAUGUUUAACAUGCGGAUAUGUUAGGAUUAUUUAUUACAAAUCUGUAAUAUUGAGAUACUGCCCUUGGGUUAGCUGGAUUAAAAAUACAGUGAAAUUUGUUAGGUUAGUAACAUUAUACGUACACUGAUUCUAAGUACAGUGGAAUUUACAUUUGGUUAGCUUAGGAUAGCGCCAAUUAAAAAUUCUGUAAAAUCAAUUGAACGGUUGGAUGUUACUAACAUUAUCUAACCAACCAAUAUACAUUUUACAGUGUUUUUUUAGGUUAUUAUCUCACGUUGCUGCUUUUUGUAUGCAAAAUAAACUUUGGACAUUUUUUUUUUAACUUUAAAUAUGUACCUGUAUUUACUCUGAAAAAAGUUUUUCUAAAUUCAGACUGGUUUUUGAGAAAUCACUGUUUAUAGGUUACAUUACAUUACCUGUGCAGUAAAGGGCCUGUAACCAUGUUGUUCUUUAAUUGAGUUGCAGAUCCUGUUGUUUUUCAUACACAAAUUGUAUAUUUUUUAUUUGGAUAUUGCAAUGCAGUAACGUAAAUUAACACUUUAAAAAAGUUAUGUGACUCCUUAUUGUGCAUUCCAAACCCAAAGCAUCAGUCCUUGAGAGCGAUAUUUUUUAGCAGUUGAUAGGUGCAAAAUUCUGAUUUUUUACGUGAGACAACACAUAACCUGACAUAUAAAAUAAAUUUUCAUUUUGUAAUAAAUGAUUCCUUUUAUAACGUCAGGUUACAUGCUAUUGCAGGUAACUAAUCUGCACUUUGCGCCUCCAUACUGCUAUAAAAAAUCCCUGUCAAGGGUUGGCGUUUUGGUUUGGAUAUACAUUAGAGACUCGUAACUUUUUUAAAACUAUUAUUUACGUUUCAUCAGGUUAUAAUAUUCAAAUAAAAAAUAUAUAAAUUCUUAUAUAUAUGGAAAACCACAGGAUCUGCAAUGCAAUUAGAGGGAAAAAUGGCUACAGCUGCUUCACUGCAUAAGCUAUCUAGUGUGCAAAAUGUGAUUUCUUGAAAACCAGUAUAAAUUAAGAAAAGCUGUUUACAGUUUUAAUAGAGGAAGGUUUUUAGUGUCUGAAAAGGUAUUUUCAAAAUUUUAUAAUUUUUUUUAUGGAUAAGCAGCAACAAAAGAAAAUUACCUUUUUUUAAAUUUAGCUAACCAACCAUUCACAUGAUUUUACAAAUUUUGUAUUGUUUAUACUUACCUGCUUUAACAUUAAACUACUGUUAAACAAUUUAUUUCAAUUUUUUAAAAAUAUCUUUGGGAAUUAGCGCAGUAUAAUCGAAGACGUUUACUGUAUUGAUGAUUGAUUUACUUUAUUGAUGCACAACAAAGUUGUAUAAUUGUUAGAUUGGUUAAGCAAAUUCAAGCAUCAAGGGUACUGAUCAAUGGUUUUUAACAUUAUAUUUUCUUAAUGAGUCCAUUGGUAAAAUAUAAAAACACUGGAAUGGCUAAAUUUUCAUCGACUGCUUAUGUUUUUUUCCGCAUGCUCACUUGAAAACAAUUACAGGGUUAUACUGUAGUUCACAGUUGCAAUACUUGGUUAGGUUAGUUACAUAAGUGCUGUUAAAUCAUGAAAAUGGUUAGGGAAAGGUAACUUCUUUAUAACUACUGUAAAAUGGUGUAAGCUAUUAUUCUUUAGGUAAGUUUACCUAGACUUUAAAAAUAAUUUAUUUGGCGAAGUACAUAGUACUAAGAAUUACUAUUUAUCAAAUUUGGUUUGUGUGGAAAAGUUGUUACUCUAGGAAAUUUCUGAAUCCAUCUUUGUAGGAAUAUAAACUAAUAUUAUUAGAAACAAAAAAAAAACAAUGUGUGGUAUAUUUUAAUUUUCUAACACCCUCUGAACUCUGCAGUUAUGCGAUUACCGAUAAUAAUUGUAAAUCAUUGCAAUAUACAUCCAACACAUUUUGUAGUGAUUUCACAACUGUACUAUGAAGUAAUGCCAUCAACUGCUGCAAAAUAACAUGCUGACAUCUUUUCUCGUGUAGGCAUUUUGUUGAUACGACUAAAAUAUGAGCAUAUAGGAUAUAUAUAGAAUCUUACAAAUUUUGGUACCUACUAAUACUCUCCCCAAAGACUUUGAAAAAAAAAAAAAAAAAAAAAAAAAAAAAAAAAAAAAAAAAAAACUGCUCAUGUAACAUGUAUUACGUGAAAUUAAUUCUUUUUGUAAACAUUUUGCUUGAGUCAAAGCCUAGAUUUGCUUAAGCUAAUAACAAGCAAUUACAUCACUUGAGGCCCUGAGAAACAUACUUCUAAAAUUGUGUAGUUACUUGGAUUGUUAAAUACCUAGUUUUUCUGCAAUAAUGGGCACAAGAGCAAUAGAAUUAUGUUUUUCAUAUAAUUUUUUUUCACAUAAAUGAGUUUUUGUCAAAAAGUAUUUGGAAAAAAAUUACUGUUUGAAAGGACAAAGAAAAAUGUUAAUUGUAGUACAUAAAUGAGAAUUUACCAAAAUAUUGAAUGUAUCAAAUUUCUAACUAAAAUGGUUUUGAAAUUAAUUUAUCAUUCUGGUAUGCAUAACUUUUUUCUUUGAUACAUUUAUUUAUCAGUUUCAUUUCUCUUUAGUACAAUAUAAAUCAUUUAACUUUGAUUUCUUUUUUGUUUCAGGCUUGUGGAGAACAGCUUUUUUUUUAUCUACUCUGUGGCUGGCCAAUGUAAAUAAGCAAUGAUUUCAUGAAUGCAGCGAGAGAGUUUAUUUGAUGUAUUUUAAAAUCACUGAUAAUAUUUAUUGAUGUAUUUUAAAAUCACUGAUAAUAUUUAUUGAUGUAUUUUAAAAUUACUGAUAAUAUUUGUUUUGUGGCUGGAAGAUGGUAACCAUGGUGACUUGUGAAUUUUUAUGAAGAUUAAUAAAAAGCAGUAAAAAUUAUUAAUGGUUGUCAGAAGGAAUUUUUUUUUCAAUGAUCAAUCAAUCAUCUACAUUCUACAGUAACAAUUUUCCUUAACUCAAAUAAUAUUUCAAUACAUAUCUUAUAAAGUAUUCAUAUAUGUACAAUAUAGACCAAUUUUGAGCUAGUCUGAUAUCAGUAUAUUAGUUAUUAUGAACAUAUACUAUCAGAACUACCAUUUGCAUAUAGUGCACGUACAUACAUAACACUAGCCAACAACCAUUAAAAAAAACACUACUAUAUACACUUACAUAAAAAAAAAUCAUAGACAAGUACAGAUUAUUCACUAUUAUAUUCUAGAGCCAAUUCCAAUAAGUGUAUUAUCAAUAAAAGAAAAUAAUUUUUUUAAAGAACAAUAUUUCGAUAUGAAGGAAAAUCUGUAUUCUGAAGUUCUUGUAUAUGUUUGGUACCAAUCAAUGUAAAUUAAUCAAUCUUUGAUAAAAAAAAAAAAUCCCGAAAAUGAUUUAUAAAUUAAAAAAAUUAUUGCCUACCAGCUCUGGGUUUUGCAUGAAGGUUCAACUUCUCUGACUUCUGAGAUUACACACAAGAUUUUAAUUAAUAAUACUAUUGGCUUCAUUACUAGAUUAUCUUUCAACCUGUAAUUUAUUAUUUGAAUCAGUUCAUUGAACUGAAAUAUUUGCAGCAAUUUCUUUAAAUGUUUAUGAACUUGGAUUAUUUAAAAUACAAAUGUAGGUAGGCUUACUAGACCUUUAAUGCCAUAAGAUUGUAAUCACAUAGGCCUGAUUUACAUUAAUAUUUGUGCUAGACUUUGUAAUUAUUAAAAUUUUAUUUUCUGCAAUGUUCCAAAGAGCAUUGCUCUAUUUUGGAACAAAACAAUUUAAUAUGACAGUUUGUUACAACACUAUUCUUCAUAAAACAAUGCACAUUAGCCUGUAUAAUAUGAAUUAGAUCUAACAUAAGAACUACAAACUGCACAUUUGCACUUAAAAUAUUCAUCAAACAGUUAGGGAAAGAGAGUAAACAUAACAUUUAACUCUUAAAUCGUCAUACUUCAUUUUAGUUAUCACACUUAUGCUUGUAUGUGAACGGGAUCAGAAAUUAGCACUGCAAAUGCACUUUUAACACUAAUAAUUAAUUAUAUCAAACACAAAUGAUAUCAGUAACAUAAUACUUCAUUUUUGGUGUUACAGUAAGCUUCCAUAAAUGUUUAUUUUUCUCAGAAAACUUUUUCAUCAGAAAACUUUUCUUGAAUUUAAACAUUACAAUAAAUUUUUAAAUACCUAAUGAUUUGUUACAUAGCAAACCUUCAAAAUAUGAUUUACUUCCAAUUUUUGGAUAAAUGCUAUUGAAGUUUUGCAUUGUUUGCCCUGGAAAACUAUGGAAAUAAAUAAACAAAUAAAUAAUUAAAAAUAUAAAGACACAACUGUAUCAGCUGUAGUUGAACAUACAGAACCAGUGAGGAGAAGAAAAAUAUAAUAAAAUAUAAUAUGUUAAUAUGUUCACUAAAGGUAUGCAAUGGAUGGAGGAUGCCCUACAUUAAUAAUAAUUAGUAACAGAGAACAAAGCAAAUUUCUAGAGAAGAGACUUUUAACAGUAGUAGAAUAAUAAAAUUCUGAAAAGGGCUGUUUCAAAAAUUGCAAACAUUCCUACACAUAAGAAGCCCUUAAUCUCAAAGACUUCAUUCAAUAUACUGGUCAUUACCUGCUGCUCACGAUCUGUAAAGGUAAGGUAAUUAAAUUAAUGGUGGAAAAGGUAAUAAGCAUUUGGUUUGUGGUCUUAUAAAUGUGGUCAUUAGAGGCAAACAUUAGGUCUCUGUGUUUAAGUGCUCACUUUUCUGUCACCAAAGUGAUCUGAGUUUGAUUCUCAGCAGGGUCAUUAAUGGAUCUUUUGAUAGUGGGGGACAUAGCAAACAUUGCAGUGGUUAGUUGGUUUUCUCAGAGUUCUUACGUUACUUCACCCAUACAUUCUGUCAUAUCAUUAGCAUUUUAUAGCCCUUCAUUUUUUUGUAAUGAUCUAGAGGUCACCAAGCUGAAAGCUCAAUUAAUUUCCUUCAUUGACAGAUAUAAGGGUUGAGGAUUUGAAGCAAGCAAGAUAAACAUUUUAAUGUUGCUUGCUUCGUCUUCUAUAGAAAAUUAAAUCUAAUAUUUUGAAUUGCUCCUGUGCUGCACUACUUCUAACUGAGAACGAGUAACCUGCACUUUUUAAGGCAUCAAAGAAAUUGUUAUAACUGAUUUCACUGUCUACAUAUCCCGGAAUAGUGUUAUCUUUAUCACUUUUGGUACAAUUUUGCAAUUUAUAUCUUGCUAGAUCAAAAAACGAUAUCGUUCACGUUUUAAAGCUGUAGCUAUAGCCCGCGCUUUUCUACUACCGAAGUUACCCGAUCGAGCGACGUACUUCGGAACUGUUCGGGCAUGUCGAUCUAUGGGGGUGAAACUUAGGCUGUCCAAUAUUCGACACUUUUCCGUGUGCUAUUUGUAGAUGCUAAUAACAAACAGAAUAGUCACUACGCCGUUUCGACCAUGGAGGUAAGAAGUUAGGGAGUGGUUGUUUGGCGUGGAUGCUGAAGUCAUUUUGCUUUUUGGGACACGCCCACUAAUGCGACCAAAACAAACGGCGAAUACAAGUUUGAAAUGGUGUUUUUAAUGAAAUAAAACAAUGUCGUGUUGUGCUUAUGGUUGUACGAAUAGGCUAGCGAAAAAGCAGACGGGAAUUACAUUUCACAAGUAAGUUUAUAUCAAACCAGGAGCUUCUAUAAUUGAAAUGGUGAGAGGAAUAAGAGAAGACAAGACAUGUCUCAAGAAAGAAGAUGAGAUAGUUAUAGCAGCAGGUGGAAAUUACGUGUUCAAGAAAGAAUAAAAAAAUUCGUGUUGUGCUUAUGGUUGUACAAAUAGGCUAGCGAAAAAGCAGACGGGAAUUACAUUUCACAAGUAAGUUUAUAUCAAACCAGGAGCUUCUAUAAUUGAAAUGGUGAGAGGAAUAAGAGAAGACAAGACAUGUCUCAAGAAAGAAGAUGAGACAGUUAUAGUAGCAGGUGGAAAUUACGUGUUAAAGAAACAAUCAAAAACUGUGUAUCUCAGUUUGAAAUAUGUAUUACCUUCAUUAUGUAACACAAAGGUGGCGGUAUGUACAAUCCCACACAGAUUUGACUUGAUGGAUAACUCAUGUGUAAAUAUAGGGAUAAGGAAAACUAAUGAAAAAAUUCUGACUCUGUAGUAAGUACAAUUUUGUACGAGUAGGUAUAUUUUGCUGAUGACGCAAAUCUUCUUAUAACUCCAGAAAAAUAUUGGAAUUAAAAAAUAAAACUGAAUUUGAAAUAAUUAACUUGAAUAAGUGGUUUGAUGCAAAUAAUUUAAAACUUGAAAUAAUUAACCUGAAUAAGUGGUUUGAUGCAAAUAAUUUAAAACUUAAUAUAAAUAAAACAAAAUUUAUUAAAUUUGGUAAUAAAAGACUGCUCGAUCAAGUAUUAUCUGAAUUUCAGAAUCAAGCGAUAAGUCAAACUGAAUCAACUAAAUUCUUGGGCUUACAUAUUGAUGAUAAACUAAAAUGGAAUGAACAUAUUAAUCAAACUAUUCAUAAAUUAAGUAAAGCUUGCUACGCCCUCAGAAUUCUUAGCCAAAUUAUAGACAGAAAUUCUCUACGAACUGCAUACAUUGCACUUUUUCACACACACAUGGUAUAUGUAAUUGAAAUAUGGGGUAAGUGUAGUAAUAGUAUUAAAAUUUUUAGAUUGCAAAAAAAAAGCCAUAUGUAUUAUAUGUUUAGCUGAUACAAGAGCCUCAUGUAAACCUUUAUUUACUGAGUGGAAUAUAUUCCCUUUUUUUUCGUAAUAUAUUUAUAGGUUGCUCUUAUUUGUAAAAUUGUAAAUAAUUUUGUAGAAUCUGAACAUACUGGACCAUAUAUCACAAGAUAUAACUAUAAACUGAAGCCAAAAUUCCACACUUAAGAGGUAUAACACUAUUUAAUAAACUACCUAAAGAAAUUAUAUUACUACAAAAUUUUAAUGAAUUCAAAAAAGUUGUUAGAGAAUACAUCAAAGGAAAAAAAUAUUUAUUUAGCUGGUGAAAUAACACCUUGUAAUGACAAUAUAAAUACCGGUAAUAUGUAAUUUGCUGUAUAAUUAAUAGGACACCCUACAAAUGAUUCAAAGUAUAUUAAAUGAAAAAUAUGUACUGUUUGUUGUGUUGUGUAAAUUGUGAAAAUUAUAAAAUUUGUGAUUAUUUGUUGAAAGUGUAGAUUAGCAAAAUUCAUUAUAAUUGUAAACUUGAUUAUUUUAUUGCAAUUUUAACUAUAUUUAAUUUUUGUUUAUAAUGUGACAAGGUCAAUAUCCCUUGAGCUGUUGGCUCAUGUAGGGAUCUGCAGGUGGAUUGAAAAAAAUAAAAAAAAUGAAAUAAAAUAGAUUGUGUUAUCUGCAUGAAACCAUAAUAUAUUUUCCAUUGAUUUUUGUUGUCCAAAUUAUAUACAUUUAUGUAAUGUCUUGUUAUUUGUUAAUAAAUUAUAGUUUUUACUUCAGUA